Molecule: non-coding RNA, 70 nt
Organism: Siniperca chuatsi (mandarin fish)
Lineage: Eukaryota; Metazoa; Chordata; Actinopteri; Centrarchiformes; Sinipercidae
Source: the annotation of a RefSeq genome assembly
GCAUUGGUGGUUCAGUGGUAGAAUUCUCGCCUGCCACGUGGGAGACCGGGUCCGAUUCCCGGCCAAUGCA